RNAcentral lists this ribosomal RNA (1386 nucleotides) under Triticum aestivum (bread wheat). RNAcentral describes it as "partial small subunit ribosomal RNA". The record is from RNAcentral. Lineage: Eukaryota; Viridiplantae; Streptophyta; Magnoliopsida; Poales; Poaceae.
AUGCAUCAGCUGGCCCAUGAGCUGGAAGAUAAGCUGGCCACCCUGAACUCAUCCAAGGCGCAGGGCGGCGAUGGUUGCCGUCCUUGCUCCAUCGUCGUCGGAAAGGUCCGCGACCUCACGCGCAACGUCGACAGCAGCGAGUAUGAUCCUGACCACGUCGCCAUCGGCCCGUACAACUACCCUCGGCCCCAGAGCAACAACCCACACCUCGCCAUGGAGCAUGACAAGCUGGCAAGCCUCGACAUGGUGCUCUCGGCGGCGAAGGCAGCAAGACCGGCCAUGACGGUGGAUGUCUAUGUCAAGGAGCUGGCAUGCCUGGAGCGUGACACCAGGAACUGCUACGCCAACACAUUUGAGGACAUGACGAGCGAGCAAUUCGUGCGCAUGCUGCUCCUCGACGCCUGUUACAUACUGUCCCGCCUUGUCGGCCUCAGAUCACAUCAUCUAGAUCUAGAUGAUGUGGGGACUGCGGAGGCCGCCGUCUCGUCAGCAAACAGGGCGGAGGCGCUAGCGGUGGUCCGCGACGUGUUCUAUCUCGCGGAGAACCAGAUACCGUUCUUCGUCCUUGAGAAGAUCGGGGAGCUGACCACUUUGGACGGUAAGGAUCGUGUGCUUACAGAGAUCUCGGAUUAUGCCCUUGAUCUCAUGAGGAGACAAAUGUACGCCAUGGCCGCGCCGGCCAUGGUGCUGCCAGAGCAGGCGGCACCCGGUAAUCUUCUCCAUCUUCUUCAUAUGCACUUGAAGCCACUCUCUGUCUCGCCUGCCGUGCCGUUUUGCACCGCUGAUCCCAUGUCUGUGCGCCGGUGGCGCUCGGCGACCGAGUACAACUUCGUGGGAGUGAAGUUCAAGGCUCGGGCCAUGGGCGAGAAGGGUCUCAUCCGCUGCAUCCUCGACGUCAAGUUGGACGGCAGUGGCGGCACUCUGGAGGUCCCCUGCCUGGACAUCGACUCCGAGACAUGGCGGUUAUUACGUAACUUGAUAGAGCUGGAGCAACGUAACCGGGAGACGGUGGGGAGCCACGUCACGGCAUACUGCGUGUUCAUAUCCCAGGUGGCCUGCACCACGAAGGACGUGGAGCUCCUGUCGAAGAGAGGCGUCAUCGUGCAUGGCCAUGGGAACAAUGAAGAGGUGGCCAAAUGCUUCGCCGACCUUUGCAAGGGGAUCCAGUUCGACCCGGAUGACCCCAACUGCAACUACCUUCGGGAGACAUGCAAGAAGCUUGAGAAGCGGUUCCAGAGCUACCCGCGGAGGUGGAUUGCGUGGCUAAAGCAGAGGUACUUGAGGAACCCCUGGCUAGCCGUUGGCCUCCUGGCAGCUGUUAUUGGCUUAGUUCUUGCAGUCAUCCAAACUGUCUACUCUGUUUUGUGUUACUACAAACAACAAUGA